GGCGAACGGGUGAGUAACACGUGAGCAACCUGCCCAGAAGCAGGGGAUAAGCCACCGAAAGGUGGUCUAAUACCGUAUGUGAUUUCAAGAGGCAUCUCUUGAUGAUUAAAGGGGGGGACCUUCGGGCCUCCCACUUCUGGAUGGGCUCGCGGCCUAUCAGCUAGUUGGUGAGGUAAUGGCUCACCAAGGCAACGACGGGUAACUGGUCUGAGAGGAUGAUCAGUCACACUGGAACUGAGACACGGUCCAGACACCUACGGGUGGCAGCAGUCGAGAAUCAUUCACAAUGGGCGAAAGCCUGAUGGUGCGACGCCGCGUGGAGGAUGACAGCCCUAGGGUUGUAAACUCCUGUCAUGAGAGAGUAAAGACUUAACGUUAAUAGCGUUGGGUCCUGAUAGU
RNAcentral lists this ribosomal RNA (399 nucleotides) under uncultured Verrucomicrobiota bacterium. Its description in RNAcentral is "bacterial SSU rRNA". It matches the Rfam family "Bacterial small subunit ribosomal RNA", at positions 97 to 476 of the family's 1533-position model. Lineage: Bacteria; Pseudomonadati; Verrucomicrobiota. The record is from RNAcentral.